AGAGUUUGAUCCUGGCUCAGGACGAACGCUGGCGGCGUGCUUAAUACAUGCAAGUCAGACGAGAACGUUUCCUUCGGGGAGCUAGUACAGUGGCGAACGGGUGAGUAACACGUAGGUAACCUGCCCUCAGGUGGGGAAUAACCCUGUCAACAUGGGGCUAAUACCGCAUAUGGCAGCGGAUUCGCAUGGAUUUGCUGUUAAAGCGGGAGAUCCUUCGGGACCUCGCGCCUGAGGAUGGGCCUGCGGUCCAUUAGCUUGUUGGUGAGGUAACGGCUCACCAAGGCUGCGAUGGAUAGCCGACCUGAGAGGGUGAUCGGCCACACUGGGACUGAGAUACGGCCCAGACUCCUACGGGAGGCAGCAGUAGGGAAUUUUGCGCAAUGGCCUCACGGCUGACGCAGCAACGCCGCGUGACCGAUGAAGUCCUACGGGGCGUAAAGGUCUGUUAGGAGGGAAGAACGAUAUCGAUGUUAAUAAUUUCGAUAUGUGACUGUACCUCCAGAGAAAGCACCGGCUAACUCCGUGCCAGCAGCCGCGGUAAUACGGGGGGUGCCAGCGUUGUCCGGAAUCACUGGGCGUAAAGGGUGUGUAGGCGGAUUAGUAAGUCCGACGUGCAAUCCAUCUGCUCAACAGAUGACUUGCGUUGGAUACUGCUAAUCUUGAGUCACGCAGAGGAAGGUGGAAUUCCUGGUGUAGCGGUGAAAUGUGUAGAUAUCAGGAAGAACACCGGUAGCGAAGGCGGCCUUCUGGGCGUUGACUGACGCUGAGACACGAAAGCGUGGGGAGCAAACAGGAUUAGAUACCCUGGUAGUCCACGCUGUAAACGAUGAACACUAGGUGUUGGAGAGCUCAUACUCUUCAGUGCCGCAGCUAACGCAUUAAGUGUUCCGCCUGGGGAGUACGAUCGCAAGGUUGAAACUCAAAGGAAUUGACGGGGGCCCGCACAAGCGGUGGAGCAUGUGGUUUAAUUCGAUCAACGCGAAGAACCUUACCGGGGCUUGAAAUGCAGUGGACAUUCCGGGAAACCGGAUUCCCUUCGGGGCUGCUGUACAGGUGCUGCAUGGCUGUCGUCAGCUCGUGUCGUGAGAUGUUGGGUUAAGUCCCGCAACGAGCGCAACCCUUGCCCUUAAUUGCCAUCAGUUCGGCUGGGAACUUUAAGGGGACUGCUGACUCUUAAGUCGGAGGAAGGUGGGGAUGACGUCAAGUCC
Molecule: ribosomal RNA, 1208 nt
Filed under: metagenome
Description: bacterial SSU rRNA
Rfam family: Bacterial small subunit ribosomal RNA
Source: RNAcentral